RNAcentral lists this ribosomal RNA (253 nucleotides) under uncultured bacterium. RNAcentral's name for it is "partial 16S ribosomal RNA". It matches the Rfam family "Bacterial small subunit ribosomal RNA", at positions 524 to 776 of the family's 1533-position model. The record is from RNAcentral.
UACGAAGGGUUCAAACGUUGCUCGGAAUCAUUGGGCGUAAAGCGCACGUAGGCGGCUUCGCAAGUCGGAUGUGAAAUCCCUCGGCUCAACCGAGGACGUGCAUACGAAACUGCGAAGCUUGAGUACUGAAGAGGAUCGCGGAAUUCCCGGUGUAGAGGUGAAAUUCGUAGAUAUCGGGAGGAACACCAGUGGCGAAGGCGGCGAUCUGGGCAGAUACUGACGCUGAGGCGCGAAAGCGUGGGGAGCAAACAGG